Molecule: long non-coding RNA, 1039 nt
Organism: Ornithorhynchus anatinus (platypus)
Lineage: Eukaryota; Metazoa; Chordata; Mammalia; Monotremata; Ornithorhynchidae
Exons: 3
Source: RefSeq, a predicted model, not a curated record
GCAGAGCACAGACCUAUUUGGGAGAGUACAGUGGAGUACUCUUCCUAUAGAGUUUCUGUACCCUGCUGAUUUGAGGAGUCAAAGAUACAGAGGGUUCCUCCGGCGACUGCAGAUGUCUCCUAUUGAGGUCUCACCAUUCCUGAACUUUGGUAAGCUGAAGGCCACACUUCGAUCUCCUCUUUAGCCUUCAAGAUUGAUUACAUAUACGGACCAGCUAUUGAGUCAUCACCUCAAUUAUUGUCAUCUAUUCAAGAGGUCAUCUAACAAACCCAGAAACUUUGUAGUUACAACUGGAAAGCAGCUUCUAUUAGCUUCUGUAUUUGAGUCAUUCCCAUUCUAGUUUUAUUUUGCAACUUUGCAUUUGUAACUUACAAUGUAUUUGCUUUUAUGGAUUUAAAAAUGCCUAAUAUUGCAAAUUGGUAUGGAUUCUUCAUAUUCUUUUUCUGAAUUAUAAUAAAAUAAGGCAAAUGAGCACUUCAGCCAUGCAAAAAUGUAAAAGUUAUAGAAACGGCAGCUAUUUGAUCUCCAUAUAUUUAUGCUUAUGUGCACAUAUAGCCGUUUAGCUAUACUGGACCUCUAGGUGUAAACUUGGAGAUAUUCAAACGAGGAAAUUAAAACCAGUCACUCUUCUAGCCUCUUUUGUGGUUUCACUCAUAUUUUUUUAAUUUUUUUUAAUUGAUGUGUAAGCACCAGAGACCUGCUCCUCCCCCCCAAAAUAGGCACAGUGAGUCAAAACGGCAAAGAACAGAUGACCAAAAAUAUUUGGAAUGAUUUUUACAAAUGUCAAGAAAAAUGACUGGUGCACAGCUACUUUGCAAAUCAAUUGUUUGCCCACCAGCUUCUAAAUGACAGCUAACCAGAAAAAGAUUACCCUUAUCCAUUUCAGAAUGAGCUGCAAGAUUAGCUUGGAAUGUAAGACUAGAAGAAAAAAGGAUUAUGUCUUCUUUAUAUCAUGAAAUGUAUCCUUUUCUAUUUGUCCUCCACAAUAUGAUGUGUUGGAAUGCAUAAGAAAUGUAAAUAAAACACCUCCUUGCCCCUU